AGUGAACGCUGGCGGUAGGCCUAACACAUGCAAGUCGAACGGCAGCACAGUAAGAGCUUGCUCUUACGGGUGGCGAGUGGCGGACGGGUGAGGAAUACAUCGGAAUCUACUUUUUCGUGGGGGAUAACGUAGGGAAACUUACGCUAAUACCGCAUACGACCUACGGGUGAAAGCAGGGGAUCUUCGGACCUUGCGCGAUUGAAUGAGCCGAUGUCGGAUUAGCUAGUUGGCGGGGUAAAGGCCCACCAAGGCGACGAUCCGUAGCUGGUCUGAGAGGAUGAUCCGACAGACUGCAACUGGGACGUGGUCGGGACUUGUGGGGGGGGCAGGAGGGCAGAAGAUGGGACUCUGGGCGCCAGUUAGAUGCAGCCAUACCGGGUGGUGGAAGAAGGCCGUCGUUUUGGAAAGCCAUUGUAUGGGGAAAGAAAAGCAGAAUGUUACUCCCCCGCUGUUCUGACGGCACCCAAAGAAUAAGCCCCGGCUAACUGGGGGCCAGCAGCCGCGGAAAUAGG
Molecule: ribosomal RNA, 512 nt
Filed under: uncultured bacterium
Lineage: Bacteria
Description: partial 16S ribosomal RNA
Rfam family: Bacterial small subunit ribosomal RNA
Source: RNAcentral